CCUGCAAGUUAAUAUAGGCUAAGAGUGUUAGAUAUUAGAUGCUAUGUUAGCUCAUAAAUCCUUCAAACCCUCUCAUUUGGUGCAAGGGAACCAACAAUUGUUGUCACACUCAUCAUCUGCUUGUCAUAAAUAUUUUUUCUCUUCCUUUGUCCCUCCUUUUCUUCUUUCAUUUUGUUUUGCCCCUUCAGCUAUCUCGUAUUCUUUCCCUCUAAAUUUUCCAAUUGAGAAUCUUGUCUUGCUAUCUAAUUGCUUCUUUUCCAACUGUCAUUUCUUUUGCUUCCCUCUAUUCUCUGUUGUUUCCUCUCUGUUCACGCACCUACCUUUUUUCCUCUUUCCUUUCCAACACAGUUCUUCUUCUCUUCUUCCAGAAAUUCUUGUUUAGCAACGAUGCGGUUUUUCUGCUCCCCAAGAAUCUUCAUUAUCUGUUGGUCAUUUGCUUACACUAACAAAACAAUUUGUUUUAGAAGAGCUUAUACUUUUGCUCCUUGGUCCAGUUGGUUAGACUCAUUAGCCUUGGAAGGUAGCUCAAUUAGUUUCCUCAACAGCACAUGCGAACUUAACAUACAAGGAACUAACUCUAGACCCUUCAACAAUUCUUCCAGCAAUAAGCAAAAGCAAUCCAUAAUUGACUGCCUAAAAUUAUGGCAAGGUACCUCACAUUGAAGCUAAACAUAGCAUUGCUUUGAGUAAGUAAAGAACCCGGAGAUCCAAACGGGCAUGUCAACCCUCACACUACUUCAGCUGCAUAGCACUGAUAUCAAUUUUUUAUAAUUCAAAUAGAAUCAAUUUUUUAUACUAUUAUUCGUCCAUCAAGUUGCAAGAAUCCACAAGUUUUCCAGUGGAAUAUCAUCUAAAGCAAAAGUUGAAUGCAAUAAACACAAUAAGCAUACCAUAAGCAUACUUUUAGAUCCACACUUCGGUCCAAUUUCGCUAACAAAAUCGCAACCCAAAUCAAGCCAGAUUAAACUAAUGUAUCGGCAUUACAAUUACCUUCCCCUGAGCCUUCUAACUCAAACCUCCCACCAGAAUAUUCAAACCAAAAAUAAAAGUGGGAAAUUCCUCCACAUCCAAACGAAAACAUGCUACAGAGAACAUCAAAUCAGAGCAAAGAAUCAUGCAUACCACAUAAUCUUCAACCAAAAAACAAAGAAAGAGAUUCAAAUCAUUCAAGCCAGAGAACCAAAAAGAAGCAAAUUUCAAUAGAUGGGUAGGAAAAGCUUACGGCCACGGGUCGGCGGACCAGGCGUGCGAGAUUCGAAGCCAUUCUCAGCGAUCCUCUCCACCGAUGCUUGGAAGCAAGGAGAAACCUUUUUUUUUGGGUCUUAGAUUUAUAGGGAGAGCUUUGAGACGAGGGUUUUGGUUUUACGGUGUCGUCCCGGCGCUUCUUUCUUUCUUUGCUUUUUUUUUUUACCUCUCCUCUACUUUUUUUCCUCUCCUUCGCCACGCGUCCAUUCCUCUCCCAAAAUCCGGACCAGCAGUGCACGUGGUCUCCACGUGAUUUCUAGGGCUCUUCUCAUGUGGGUGUAACCUACUCCCAGGUCGUAACAAUUUGUCUCAUG
This 1559-nucleotide long non-coding RNA is filed under the name Elaeis guineensis (African oil palm). RNAcentral's name for it is "long non-coding RNA (EGUI_LNC071747)". The record is from RNAcentral. Lineage: Eukaryota; Viridiplantae; Streptophyta; Magnoliopsida; Arecales; Arecaceae.